This is a long non-coding RNA of Salvelinus sp. IW2-2015, 1471 nucleotides long. RefSeq lists it as uncharacterized. The record is from RefSeq and is a predicted model, not a curated record. NCBI's taxonomy places the organism in Eukaryota, Metazoa, Chordata, Actinopteri, Salmoniformes, Salmonidae.
UGAGAGGGACUUAGUAGCCACGUUAUUUAUUUGUCCGUUGGCUUGGCUCCUGCAUCUUUGUACCUCUCAACCCAACUGAAGCGUCAUUAUAAUCGGCUACUUUAUGAGAACGUUUCACUAGUAGCUAGCUAACGUUAGCUACGUUUCAUAAAAACUCAACAGCUAUCAACUACUGUAUGCUGUUAGAUACAUUUUUAAAAAGUGCUGAUAAAAUAUAUGUCCCAAUGAAGUUGUUUUUGUCUGUCUGAUUUUACUGGACAAAGUGAAUUGGGUCGGUGGUUCAAGGGGAGUUUGACAGCUAGCUAGCUAACGUUAGCUUCGUUAGCACUUUUGCAGAUGUACUUGUUGACAGUCUGGGUGGAACGAGUUUUAGAAAACCUGCUUGUUAGCGAAUAUUCAACAUGAACUUUCUAUUUCGUUGUCAGAUAACAUUACAACUGUUACAUAACUGUUACUAUUUAACAAAAAUAUUCUCUUGACCCCCUUUUUAAUAUCAAUUUUAACUUGAUUUUCCAUUAUGAAUAUUAACGUUACAGGAACCGGUUUAUGAUGAGAAAUGACAUGAAAAAGCAGAGGGUAAAUAAGGUACCAUAUUGUAUAUAUUAUAAUACAGUAUAUGUGACAUGAUAAUACAUAUGCCCACAUUUUAUCAGGAAUUCUUUGAUAAGAAAAUGCAGAGAAAGAUGAAAACCUUAGGAAUACCAACCUCUCCUGAAGGAGCCAGCUCUGGAAGUAUGUACCUGGUGACUUUAUUCAUAGUAAACCAGAUUGCUGCAAAGAAAGAAAACAAUGAUCAGCCAAAGAUAACUCGCAUCACUGAUGAUAAGGGAGGACCCAAGUCAAUGAGGGAGGGGCUUCUGGAGUUACCCAUGAGCCCUUGCUCCCCAUCACCUCUUUCCCUUGUGGAGAGCCAGCCUUUGUACAGUGUCCAGGCUGCUAGAAAGAGAAAGCACUGCAUUCCUGAUGGAUUCAAGUAUAGACAGAUACAGUAAGCUUCGUGGAAAUGAUGACUCAACCAUGUGACAUUUGGCUGGUUCAUUGAUUGUUGCUCUCAGCUCUCACCAGUGCUGGAGUCAAACAUGUCAGACACCAGUACGUCAGACUACCAGCAACACAUCACCCUGAGCCCCUUCUCCUCGGCAUCGUCGUCAGUCUACUCCUCAGGGGCAGACAUGUUCUCCCUCCAGCAGAGAGCACAGGUCCAGCCACAGCCACACUGCUCCCCUAGACCACCCUGGGAUAUCUCCACCUCAGAGCAAACACAGCCAGGAGGGAGGAGAGAGUGUGCCUCGUGGGCCACAGGACCAAGUGGACCCAAACAGCAGCUGAGCAUGACCCCCCCCCCAGUAUCCAAAGUAUGGUUUGGGGGCACAGAGCCUGAGUGAGUACUGAACUGAAAUAUCAAAGAUGUGUUUUUACCUGAUAUGCAGCAAAUCAUUUUCUUUAUCCGUCUUCUGUUCAUUCCUUUUUU